AAUAUGCAAGCACGCAGGUGGCCGCUGGAUGUAUGAUCGGCGAAACAAGCGGGAAACAGGAAACCGGUGGAAAUCCGGUACGGUCGCGCCACUGUUAUCGAGUCAUCGAGAGUCAGACCCUGUUUCCAGUCCGCCAGUCCAU
This is a non-coding RNA of Frateuria aurantia DSM 6220, 142 nucleotides long. The record is from Rfam. Lineage: Bacteria; Pseudomonadati; Pseudomonadota; Gammaproteobacteria; Lysobacterales; Rhodanobacteraceae.